GCCUGGAUAGCUCAGUUGGUUAGAGUGUGAUGCUGAUAACGCCAAGGUUGCAGAUCUGAUUCCUGUAUAGGGCA
Podarcis lilfordi (Lilford's wall lizard) is the source of this 74-nucleotide non-coding RNA. The record is from the annotation of a GenBank genome assembly. Lineage: Eukaryota; Metazoa; Chordata; Lepidosauria; Squamata; Lacertidae.